Molecule: ribosomal RNA, 502 nt
Filed under: uncultured bacterium
Lineage: Bacteria
Description: partial 16S ribosomal RNA
Rfam family: Bacterial small subunit ribosomal RNA
Source: RNAcentral
AUUGAACGCUGGCGGCAGGCUUAACACAUGCAAGUCGAGCGGGGUGAUGGUGCUUGCACUAUCACUUAGCGGCGGACGGGUGAGUAAUGCUUAGGAAUCUGCCUAUUAGUGGGGGACAACAUCUCGAAAGGGAUGCUAAUACCGCAUACGUCCUACGGGAGAAAGCAGGGGAUCACUUGUGACCUUGCGCUAAUAGAUGAGCCUAAGUCGGAUUAGCUAGUUGGUGGGGUAAAGGCCUACCAAGGCGACGAACUGUAGCGGGUCUGAGAGGAUGAGCCGCCACACUGGGACUGAGACACGGCCCAGACUCCUACGGGAGGCAGCAGUGGGGAAUAUUGACAAUGGGUGGAACCCUGAUCCAGCCAUGCCGCGUGUGUGAAGAAGGCCUUAUGGUUGUAAAGCACUUUAAGCGAGGAGGAGGCUCUUUUGGUUAAUACCCAAGAUGAGUGGACGUUACUCGCAGAAUAAGCACCGGCUAACUCUGUGCCAGCAGCCGCCGUAA